Molecule: long non-coding RNA, 895 nt
Organism: Electrophorus electricus (electric eel)
Lineage: Eukaryota; Metazoa; Chordata; Actinopteri; Gymnotiformes; Gymnotidae
Source: RefSeq, a predicted model, not a curated record
CCUACUGCAUCUGCACAUGUGCUUGCUUCUGACCGUAAUAGAAAGAUUUCUACUGCUGAAUGCUGCCAUCUAAUAAACUCACCUAAAUGUCACUAGUGGAUAAGAAAUGACUGUCCAGUUGGCUUAGGUAAUGGAAGACAUUUCAAGCAAGAGAAACACAUGUAAUGAUGCCCUUAAACUCUACCACAGCUAGGAUUCCAGAAGGAAGAGGAGUUCAUGUGACCAUCACUUCCUGCCAGACUCAUCAACUUCAAAGUAUUAAAUGUACAUAUAAGGCUAAGUGUAAUGAGAAUUAAAACUGAACUGAUCUAUGGACAUUUUUGAACUUAUGAAUAGAUCAAAUAGUUCAAUAUGAAUAAUUUUUCAUGAUUCAUAACAUGCUUUAUUUUGUGUUCUGUCUUUACAACCUCAGUAGGUUAAUCACAUAUACAUUUAUGAUCUUAGAAGACCAUUUGAAUUCAAAGUCAUUUUAAUAAUGUUUCUUUCCAACAUGUAUAGUAAUCUGCUGUUUUAGUUGAUUUACAUUGUGGUUGGGCCAAUCGGAAAAGUGUGGAGGAGCACGGUGAGGACUCACAGUUUGCCAUGCGUUUCCAUAGCCCUUAUUUACUUCAAAUUUCAUGUUUUAAUUGUUUUUGUUAGCUGAAUCUUAUGAAUGUCUUGGUUUGUAUAAUCAUGUAAUUUUUGCCUUAACUAGCAUAACUAGCAGAUGUGUUACCCUUGUGAGUAUCUUUUGGUUUACUUCCUGUUAUCCUUUUAACCUCAAUUUUUCUUUUCUACUUGUUUACUGGUAAUGUAUCUUUUUUAAGUUUUUGCUUUCUAAUUAAUGCAGCUGUUCUAUAGCAAAAAUGGCACAGUCUUUUCUGGUCCUUCUUCAAUAUAUACUUAUAUGAUUUUA